CGCUCCGGCGAUCUUUAUUUAAUCAGACUAAGUAACUGAACAGCUGCUACUGAGCUCGCGCACAAAUUGGAUGUUCCGCGUGUGGUGCGGUUCUGUGAUAUAAUGAACAACUUUAUUAAUGUAAAGGAGAAAAAACGACUCUUUAUAUUUCUCUGGAGAUCAGGGUGAAAAGCUAACAAGGCUCUCAAAGGAACAAGGCUACAAAGAUCCAGACAAUCCAGACACACAGCACCCAAGUUAAUGAGCCCAAACACGCACCCAAACUCUCCACUGGAGAUAAAAUCAAUAUUUUCCCUCCAUCGCUGUGGUCUCUGAGGUGGAAACCCGUGGUGAGCUGAAAAUGGCGGCUGUGAGCAUCAACAGGAGAAAAUCAUGGAGGGAAUGUCCUGCAAAGAUUCUCUACAUGGUUCUCUGACCUGGAUCCACAGUUAUAUAUUAUACUGUAUAUCUAUCUAUCUAUCUAUCUAUCUAUCUAUCUAUCUAUCUAUCUAUCUAUCUGUCUGUCUGUCUGUCUGUCUAUCUGUCUGUCUGUCUGUCUGUCUAGGAAGAAACUGUCAGAAGCAUCACGUCAUUCCUUUACACACCUGUUUUUUCUUAUUCACACCAUGUCACGUGUUUAUUUGAGGUCACGUGUAAUUAUAGGGUUUAACAUCACGCACAUUACUCACUUUACUCAUCAAUCCCUAUAAUUAUUAGGAAUGAUUAUAUAAUAAACAGAGCUUGUUGUUGUUUGUUUUAGAACAUUUGACAGAAAGCUUCAUAUAAUGUCUGGCUGAGUGUGUGAGGAAUUUUGUCAGGAGGAGUUUGUGAGGAAUUUUAUCAGGAGGAGUGUAUAAGGAAUAUGAGGAGGAAUGUGUAAGGAAUAAUAUCAGUAGGUGUGUGUAAGGAAUUUAUCCGGAGAGUGUAAGGAAUGUCAGGAGGCAUGUGAAAGGAAUAUUAUCAGGUGUGUGUAAGGAAUAUUAUCAGGAGUGUGUAAGGAAUUUUAUCAGGAGUGUGUAAGGAAUAUUAUAUCAGAAGGCAUGUGUAAGGAAUAUUAAGAGGUGUGUGUAAGGAAUUUUAUCAGGAGGAGUGUGUAAGGAAUUUUAUCCAGAGUGUGUAAGGAAUUUAAUCAGGAGGCAUGUGUAAGGAAUAUUAAGAGGUGUGUAAGGAAUUUUAUCAGGAGGAGUGUGUAAGGAAUAUCAGGAGGAGUGUGUAAGGAAUAUCAGGAGGAGUGUGUAAGGAAUAUCAUGAGGAGUGUGUAAGGAAUAUUAUAUCAGAAGGCAUGUGUAAGGAAUUUUAUCAGGAUUGUUUAAGGAAUAUUAAGAGGUGUGUGUAAGAAAUUUUAUCAGGAGGAGUGUGUAAGGAAUUUAAUCAGGAGGCAUGUGUAAGGAAUAUUAAGAGGUGUGUAAGGAAUAUCAGGAGGAGUGUGUAAGGAAUAUUAAGAGGUGUGUAAGGAAUAUCAGGAGGAGUGUGUAAGGAAUGUAAGGUUUUGUAGUGUUAUAGUCAUAUAGUCUUGUAUCAUAUCAUAUUGUCUCGUAUAGUCUUGUAACGUAUCAUAUUGUAUCGUAUAGUCUUGUGUCAUAUCGUAUUGUAUUGUUUCGUAUUGUAUUGUAUCGUAUCACCUCGUACAGUCUUGUAUCAUAUCGUAUCGUAUUGUCUUGUAUCAUAUCGUAUUGUAUCGUAUAGGCUUGUAUCGUAUCGUAUCACCUCAUAUAGUCUUGUGUCAUAUUGUAUAGUCUUGUAUCGUAUCAUAUUGUAUCGUAUCGUAUUGUAUCGUAUUGUAUCGUAUCGUAUCACCUCGUAUAGUCUUGUAUCGUAUCGUAUUGUAUCGUAUCGUAUCACCUCGUAUAGUCUUGUAUCGUAUCGUAUUGUAUCGUAUCGUAUCACCUCGUAUAGUCUUGUAUCGUAUC
Molecule: long non-coding RNA, 1889 nt
Organism: Hemibagrus wyckioides
Lineage: Eukaryota; Metazoa; Chordata; Actinopteri; Siluriformes; Bagridae
Exons: 3
Source: RefSeq, a predicted model, not a curated record